This 71-nucleotide transfer RNA is filed under the name Marmota monax (woodchuck). RNAcentral's name for it is "tRNA.Ala". Lineage: Eukaryota; Metazoa; Chordata; Mammalia; Rodentia; Sciuridae. The record is from RNAcentral.
GGGAUUGUGGCUCAGAGGUAGAGUGCUCACCUAGCAUGUGCGAGGCCCUGGGUUCUAUCCUCAGCAACACA